Molecule: non-coding RNA, 134 nt
Organism: Triticum urartu
Lineage: Eukaryota; Viridiplantae; Streptophyta; Magnoliopsida; Poales; Poaceae
Source: Rfam
UAUAUACUCCCUCCAUCCGGAAAUACUUGUCACCAAAAUGGAUAAAAGCGAUGUAUCUAGAUGUAUUUUAGUUUUAGAUACAUCCCUUUUUGUCCAUUUUGAUGACAAGUAUUUUCGGACGGAGGGAGUAUAAU